Non-coding RNA from Phoenix dactylifera (date palm), 4036 nucleotides. NCBI's taxonomy places the organism in Eukaryota, Viridiplantae, Streptophyta, Magnoliopsida, Arecales, Arecaceae. The record is from RefSeq and is a predicted model, not a curated record.
CCUUUUUUUGUCCUGUCCGCUGUUACCCCAAAUCUCUCUCCACCCAUCUCUCUCUAGCUUUUACCUCUUCUGGCUCUUGAGGAAAGCCAAAAGAAUAGCCCCCAUAGUCGUGUCGAUCUCCUACUCUUCGUCCUCCGGCGAGCAGGCCAUCGACACGAAGCGUAGGUGAUGGAGAACCAGGGGUUUCUGUCGUACGAGAGGCUGGAAGGGAUGGCGAACUGGGUGGGGAUGAGCGUGGCGUCGGCCUUCUUCGCCUCCCUGGAGCGCUGCUCCUGCAUCAAUCUCAGCACCGCCGAGGACGAGGGCGAGGAGGAGGAGGAGGCCAAAGACCGUCCCCUCAUGCUCACCAACCCCGUCAAUUUCGACUCCGUCCACAGCGACGAUUCCAAGACCUCCCCCGUCUAAUCCUCCUAGAUCCUUGAUCAGUUAAUGAUGAUGAUCAACUGGUGAUACAUCACAGUCCUUGGUCUAUGCAACUCAACAUCACAGUCUCCUCUCAUUUGGAGGAUCCACAUGCUGACGAUGUUCUUUCUGCAGCAUCUAUUAUUGCCAUCACUUUGUGGGUAAAUCACACACAUCAUGAUGUCGCAAGAUACCUUCUCUGCAGGCCACAUCAUGGAUAUAUUCAAUCCUUAUUUUUCAUAUCAGUUAGUAGUGGACAUUCUGUUUGUGUUAACCCUUUGAUGGAUGAUUACUUUGCAUCUCAGAGUCUUGUUAUGAGCAUGGCACUUAGCAGUAUAAAUAAAACCAUUGAUUUUGAUUCUCCCAAGCCAUCAGUGUCUUCCUAUGUGGAGCCCCAUUUAAUUGCAUAACACUUUCUUAGCUGUUUAUUCCAUCAUGAUGAUAUAUGCAGAGGUUGUCUUUAAGGUGGAAGAUGAACUUUAAGAGGAGCUCUCACAAAGCAAUGCUCCAUGUGUUUUUCAGAACUGUAUGUUCAUCUACUUGCAAUAUGCAACAAUAAACUUUUAAGAGGAGUUCUCACAAAGCAAUGCUCCAUGUGUUUUUCAGAUCUGUAUGUUCAUCUGCUUGCAAUAUGCAGCAAUAACCUCUUAGAGGCUUAUAUCAGUGAGAUGCAAUCAAAUCGGGAUGAGCUCUCUUCUUAUCCACGUAAAAUUCGUGUCAACUUUGUAAUCUCUGCAUUCCAUUCUUAUCCACGUAAAAAUUUGUGUCACGUUGGUAAUCUCUCAAUUCCAAGGCAUCUUUAAUUCUUGAUAAAGAUGCAACUUAUUAUUGUAAAAUUCCUAAAAAAAAGAGGUGGAAACUCAUUGGGGGAUAAGGUCUCCGGGUUGGACCAAAUACUGAAUAUGAUUGAACGUAAAUACGUAGAAAAAAUUGAUGAAGGUUAUUUUAUUUUUCUCAUGUUUAAUGUAAAUUUAUAUUGGUUUAUUGAAUUUCUGUAGUAGAAUCGUCUACCAUAAAUAGAGGGCUGAAACCCAUAAAAAUCACUCGAAACUUAUUGAAUGUUUGGGUAUCUCAGUUUUUCCUUUUUUUAAAAAAUGAAGGCUUACUCUUUUUCCAGAAGUGUGCAGACAGAUUAUGCCUUGCUUACUCCUUUUUAUGCCAAAGAUAGCAUAGAAGUUGCUGGCUUGCUGGACAUGCAAUAAAUCAUAGCUUAAUAGUAAAUUUUGAUAUGCUGGGAUUGCAAUUAACUUCUUGACCUCAAUAUUCCUAGCACCGAUUAUGAGAUAAUUUUGACCUCAUGACAACCCCUCAUUUGCACACAAAGGAAAUGUCUCCUUCUCCUUUCAUCCUUGCUUCUAUUCACUCUCCCCCGUUUGAGCAGAUAAUGCUUUCAGUGUGAUAUCAACCAUCUUUAAAUAGACUACUUGUUUACAAGCAUGUGCAUUGAACAUGUUAAUUACUAUUACACUAGUGUUUGGCAUGUGCAAUGCACAUGGGAGGAAGAUGGAUGGCUUUGAUCACUUGUUGUAAAAUUGAGAUUCCAAAAAUAAAGGAAAAACAUUAUCUACCCAAUUGAAAUUUUAGGGAAAAAAAAUAGGAUUAAUUACAUGGCAUGAGUUUUGUCCAGCCACAAGCCCCUUACUACUUAUUUAUAUAGAUAGAGAGAGAGAUUGUAUGGUUUUUAGGCCAUAUUUGAGACGUGCAGAAAUCUAGGUUUAAGUGCACUUUAGAUUGUAUAGAGAUUUUAAGAAUGCUUUAAAUAUUUUCUCAUAAAUGAAAGAAAGUUUAACAUGAGUCAGAAAUGAUGGAAAAGAAAAAAAUCCUUGUUGGUCAGGAUAGAUAAGAUUAAGGAAAACUCUUUUCUUCUUCUUCUUCUUUUGAUUGCCUAUUGAUUUGUUGUUUGAAGUUCUGCUUUGAUACUUCACAUUUGGAGUGAGGAACCUUUAUUUGUCAUGGAGAGAGACAACUCUUUGUGGUUAUUCCCCUUCCCCUUCUCUCCAGAAGAAAAAGACCUAUGUCUGACUUUUGUGAAUGCGUAACAUGGGAACAUGUUGCUUUUAAACUGGUGAUAGCCAAUUGAGGAUCUUCAAGAAGUUAUUUGAGAAAUCUAGUUCAACGUUUCUCCCUUUUCUUUGACUCUUGAAACUCAUUGUACAUUUAGCAGACUUCAUAUGGCCUUGUGCAGAAACUAAUGAUAUUAUUUCUUUUUCUUCUCUUGCUGUUCGAGCUUUAGGACUAGGUUAAUUCCACCUCGGCUUGCAACUAAUUUUGAGCCGAUAAGCUGGUUUCAACAUUGGUCCUGUUUGAACUUGAGGUCGAUUCAAGCCCAAUUCAAGCUAGGCUCAAGUUGACUCAAGCUUCUCAUUAAUCUCACAACUGAUGUGACACCACUAAUAUGUAUCCUGGCAGAAGCUUAUAGGGCUACACAAUGGGUCAACAAUAUUUUCUGAGGAGGGUGGCAUAAUGUGUCCAUCUCUUGAAAGCCUUCCUUUCUUUCAUUCUUAAAUUAUAUUGUCUUUUAUUUUGUCCGUCUAUCAACUCUUAUGGACCUUUUCCUUCCUCUUGUUAAAUUACUAUUUCCCUCACCCCUGUGACCCCUCUCCGGGGCACACCUUCUUUUGGAAGCAUUUGCAAAUAUUUGCUUCCACCAUUGCCCAAGUUUUUCUUGGUUUUAAUGCCAUUAUUUGCUUGUUAUAUUGCAACAAACUUGCUGCGUCCAUUCCAUGCGGGUUGUGAUGUUUUCCCUACAAGACCUUGCAUUAUUAUUUGCUAGUAUAUAAAUCUGUUCAGUGCACUUUUACGUGCAAGAAAUUUUUUUUUUUUCUGGUCCAACAUAAUUUACAGACUCCCAUUGUCAAGAUGAGGUUUCCUGCAAUUAUUUUUCUCCGUCAAACAUUCCAUGUGUCCUUCAUUUUUCUUUGGUUGAUAUGUGAAAACCAAUUAUCUUAUUGUUUACUUGCUUCCAAUUUUAGUACCAGUUUAAAUUUUGAAUUAAAUGACUAUAUUUGAGAAGUAUGACUAUUUCCACUGUUAACCCUGAUAUACAAUGCUGACUUGUUAUCUAUCAAUUAUCCUUGAUUAUCUGUGGUGCUAAUUUUUAUCUGUCAUUGACACAAUUGUCUCUUCAUGUGCAUGGUCCAAGCCAUGUAUGAGGAGGAGGUGAUAAAGCCUUCCUUGUCAGCUUAAGCUUGGAUUCUUGUUUGUCUUUGACUCAGUUAUACCUCUACAUGGAUGGUUCAGGGUGCACAUUAAAAAGGGAUAUUAAGCUUAAUCUACAUUGUUGACCCAUCCUCUAUCAGGUCAAGCUUUGAGGACUGAUUCUUGUCUGUCUUUUGCUCAAUUUUCUUUUCACGAGCAUGGUUCAGACCACACAUAAGAAGGCCUGUUAAGCCUAAUAUACAAUGUUGGCCCAUUCUCUAUCAGCUUAAGCUUUUGGGAUCGUGCAGUUAUUUGGCAUCCACUUCCAACCUUUUUAGAAUUUUAUGAUGGUUAUUUUUGUUUGGAGUGUCUAGAUGUAAACAUUUUAAGGUUGGAGUCUUUUAUGAAAUGGUAUAGAAUAUGAAACACUAUCUAAGAGAAGAGAUGGUGCUAGUAAUAUUGAGCCAUGGAAGUGGCAGAAUGUUGUGAUACAAAA